Molecule: long non-coding RNA, 4130 nt
Organism: Podarcis raffonei (Aeolian wall lizard)
Lineage: Eukaryota; Metazoa; Chordata; Lepidosauria; Squamata; Lacertidae
Exons: 3
Source: RefSeq, a predicted model, not a curated record
CCAGAGCGGCACCACCGAGAUGCGGAUGUUGAAGGAGAGCAGACGUGACAGCUCGAGGCCGAGCUUCCGGUUUCCGUCCAAGAUGGCGGCAGCGAUGUCUGGUCGCCUCCGAUAUUGGAAGCGACGGCAGCCGUUUGUCCCUGGCGUGAAAUAAACGCGAAUUCCCACCCUCAGGCGACAGUCGCUUGCUUGUGGGGACGGGCAGAGAUGUGUCUGUCGGAAGAUAGCUCUUUGAGAGCCAGAUUAUCUCGCUGGACUAGCACAGCAAGACGACUUUCCUCAAGGCUGCCCUCAGCUCGCAGGCUUGUCUGGCCAUGGAAGCGAGGAAAGGUCUACACUUGUUGCCGACCUCUUAAGCCCCUGAAGCAAUACCUCCGUCGUUAACUUUCCUGCCCCUUGUCAAAUAACGGAACUUGCUGUAGUACUCCCAAGACAAAAACACGAUUCAAUGUGAAAUAUACUCGGAGUCGGGAGUGGAUUUAAUGCACUUUAUUCAGCUCACAGUGGUGAGAAGGAAUGGAAGUUACCCCAGAAUGUCUGCUUUAUGUACAUUACUUACACAAUGAUUACUUACACGUGAUUGGCUAAGUCCGGGAUUCUCCUGUAGGCCAAUCAGGUUGCUGAUUCACUUCCACCUGGAGCUGGAUUGGGUGGCUGCUGCAUUCUGGAUCCUAUUGUUAUAGGACCAAUCAGACUGCUGCAUUCUGAAUCCUAUUGUUCUAGGACCAAUCAGACUGUUGCAUUUUGGAUCCUAUUCAACUCAGUACGUAACAAAUGUGUAGUUAGACAAGAGGAAAUGUUCUACAAGGCAGCAAGUGUGAAAUUGGAUCAGGCUUGCUUUUCUCUACAUAGCUGCUGAGUCCCCUGCUCUCCUACACAGACAAGCCUCAAAGGUCUAUGUCUUGGAAACUGGAUUCAAUCAUUUCAUCAGGUGUUUCUGAAAACUUAAGGAUAAGGCGGCAGUGAUGAGCAACAAAAUGUGCAAGAGAUGAAGGGAUGCCAUCCAAGUACCAUCCAAGUAAAUAAAAGAAAGGGAAAAGGUGGACAGUCAAAGGGAAAAUAGAGCAUAUAAGUAUCUUAGAACCCAUCUUGGGGAGAUUGCCCCAACCCCUUGCUGAGUGAUCAGAACUUACUCAGCGAGACAGAGAGGAAAAUGCAGUCUGCACUUGCCUCAUAGGGGAGCUGUUCCACCCCCUUGAACAUUUUUGUUGCCCUUCAGUGAACCUUUUCCACCUCUACAGUAUCCUUUUGUAGUUGAGGCAACCACAAUCAUACACAGUAUUCCGAUUACCGUAUUUUUCGCUCUAUAAGAUGUACCUGACAAUAAGACGCACCUAGCUUUUAGAGGAGGAAAGGGGGAAAGCCCUGUUUUUUGGGGGGAAUCAGCCCACAGUUUUGCAGCUUCUUUUGCAAAGGGGAAAAGCCCCAUUUUUUUUUUUUUUGAGGAUCAGCUCAAAGUUGUGCGGCUUCUUUUGCAAAGGCAAAAAGCCGCGUUUUUGAGGAUCACCUCACAGUUGUACAGCUUCUUUUGCAAAAGGAAAAAGUCCCUUCUUUUGAGGAUCAGCUCAAAGUUGUUGAGCUUACUUUGCAAAAGGAAAAUAUUCUGUUUUUAUAGGGUUCACCUCACAGUUCUGCAGCUUCUUUAGGAAAGGAAAGGGAGCCAUUUCUACAGUGUCCAGAAAGAUAAUCUAAUCAGCCAGUCACAUGUCGCUGGGGAAAAAACAGCCUCCAUCUGCAGAACAUUCAACAAUGGAGGCCUGGGCAAUGGGCCGGGGCCGGAAAGGGAUCCAGCGAUUGACCACACAUUUGCUCCAUAAGACGCACAGACAUUUCCCCUUACUUAUUAGGAGAGGAAAAGUGUGUCUUAUGGAGCGAAAAAUAUGGUACGUGAAACCUCAGAUUCGUAUAAUGCCAUUAUGACAUUAGCAGUUUUAUUUUCAAUUCCUUUCCUAACUAUUUGUAGCAUGGAAAUCACCUUUUCCACAGCUGCUGCAUGUUGGGGUGACAUUACCAUUGAGCUACCCAUGAUGACCCCCAAGGUCUCAUUCCUGGUCGGUCACUUUCAGUUCAGACCCCAUGAUUUGUCUAGGUGAAAUUAAGAUUACUGGCCCCGGUGUGCAUCAUUUUACACGUUAAAUACAUUGCAAUUUGCCAUUUUACUGCCCAUCCACCCGGUUGGAAGAGAGCCUUUUGAAACUCAUCGCAAUCCCUUGUUUUAACAAACCUGACUGGUGUGGUAUCAUUGCCAAACUUGGCUUCCUGACUGUCAAAUCAUUUGUAAACAAGUUAAAAAGCGAAGGCCCCUAUACUGAUUCUUGGAUGCAGAGAUGGUUGUAGGGUACCCUGACUGGUGCAGCCAUACUAUGUGCAGCACUGCUGGGGGUGCUGCAGCAAUGCUGUAGAAUAGAGCAUGUGUGGUGGAGGGGGGGUUAGUUGCAAAUUUUAGCAUCACACAGGGUGCCACUAAAAUCUGAGAGCCCAAAGUCUGCCACAGUUGGGAAGUUCUACGUUCCUCCAUUGGGAGAAGUAUCCAUUUAUUCCUGUUCUCCGUUUCCUGUUUCUCAACCAAUUACUGAUCUAUAAGAGGGCAUCACUUCGUUGUCCAUUAUUACUCAACUUAGACUUUGGUGAGGUAGCAAGGAACUACAGUCAUACCUUGGUUCUGGAACGCCUUGCGAGUUGAAUGUUUUGGCUCCUGAACGCCACAAAUCCGGAAGUGAGUGUUCCGGUUUGCAAAUGUUCUUUGGAACCCGAAUGUCCAACGCAGCUUACGCAGCUUCCGAUUGGCUGCAGGAGCUUCCUGCAGCCAAUCGGAAGCUGCGCCUUGGUUUCUGAACGUUUUGGAACUUCCAGAACUGAUUCCGUUUGACUUCCAAGGUACAACUGUAGCUCCAAAUGAACAUGGAUAUAAUCCCUGAGGGGAGAAGCUUAGCUGUUUAGCUGCACCGUUUGUCAGUCAUCAGAGACAGUUCCGCUGUCCUAUUAAAAAAACAAACUUUUGUCUCUUUUGCUGGAAUAAAAGAAAUAACAUACAAGGUGUUCCCCUAACCAUGUGAUGCAAUGUGUGAGGACCCAACUAAGAUCACAUGCACCCCAUACAUUUAAAGCACAUUACGUCCCCCAAGGAAUCCUGGGAGUUGUAGUUUGUUAAGGCUGUUGGGAAUUGUAGCUCUGUAAGGGUAAAUGGCAGUUUCCGGGAUUCUUUGGGGGAAAUCAUGUGCUUCAAAUGUAUGGCGCGUACGUAGCCUUACUCAUACUUGGAGCAGAUCCACCGAAAUCAGUGGGCUUAAUUGAGCCAUGCUAUUAAUUUCAUAGGUCUACUCUGAAGUAUGGCUUUGUUGGAUACAGCACAUCACAUCUGAAAUUCCUCGCAGGAGGUUAUUCCCAGCAUUUUCCAGAAAUCUACAUAAAAACACCAUUGUUAAAAAACAGAAACCUGAAAGCUGUACCCCAUUCCAAGAGUUAAUAACUGCAGCUGAGUGUGGCGCUUAAAAGAAAUCUGUUUUCAGGGACAGUGAUUCUUUCUUGUCAGAUGCUGAAGUUAAAGAAGAUUGAUAAUGCCUUACGCAAGCAAUUUACAGCAUCCUCCAAGGGCUUCAAAGUAUAAUCCAUUGUAUUUUAGCUGUAAUUUCACAUUCAAAGAAGCUGAAAGUAGUUUUCAAAAUGUGUAUUGGGGGGGGGGGAGGACCUUCCAUUUUACAGUGUCCACUGGCAUCCUGUGCAUUAAAUAUACAUAGUAUUUAUCUUGUGAUAAUCACUGGCCUAAAAGCUGGAUUACAGUGUUUAUUCUUUGUUGCAAUGUGUCUUUUUCUUCUUAGAGGCUCUUGAAGCGUCUGCGUAAAGCUAAUUGUUCAAUGAUUAUCAUGAUGAGCAGACACUUUCUACCAGAUAUAAUAUUUUUAUGCUUUACUAUGUUUUUAUGGUCACACAAUAUCAUUUUCUCAUCUGUAAUAGGACCCCAGGUGCUGCCUAGAUGUUAAGAGGAACGCUGCAUGUUUCAUCACUGGCUCUUAAAGAACAGCAUUGAGGUCCAAAAUGUAUGUCCUUAAGGAGAUCUUCUAGCAAUUAAUCCUCUUUCCUCUGACAAGUGUUUAUGUGAGAUUGCUCUGUUUCCUUUUAUAUUUUAUCUA